AUAGAUACCCUAGUAUGUGGUAAGAAUUUGGAUUAUUAUAUUAAGAAAUUUAAAAUUUUUGGCGGUUAAUUUUAUAUUAGAGGAGCUUGUUUUAGAAGUAACUCUUUAUAUUUUAUUGGUUUUUGUUUAUUUAUUGCCGUUAUUAGAAUUUUGUUUGUAAAAAAUUUAGGUUUUGAAUUUCAGGUCAAGAUGUAGCAUUUACUCAUUUCUUUUUGAUUAGCUACAAUUAUGAAGUAAAAGUUGGUUAUUCAUUUUGUUAAUUUAUUAUAAAUUGAAUUUAAUUGUAUCUUUUUCUAGAAAGAGAGUGGGAAUUUCUUAAAAUUAAUGUACAGAUUGCCCGUCACUUCUGUUGCUGAAGAUGGAAUAAGUCGUAACAAA
RNAcentral lists this ribosomal RNA (378 nucleotides) under Cutervolus albopunctatus. Its description in RNAcentral is "partial small subunit ribosomal RNA". Lineage: Eukaryota; Metazoa; Arthropoda; Arachnida; Opiliones; Cranaidae. The record is from RNAcentral.